This 827-nucleotide long non-coding RNA is filed under the name Numida meleagris (helmeted guineafowl). Its description in RNAcentral is "lncRNA (ENSNMEG00000021767.1)". Lineage: Eukaryota; Metazoa; Chordata; Aves; Galliformes; Numididae. The record is from RNAcentral.
CUGACUGGAUUGGAUUUGUUUGCAGUAUGUGCAGUAACACAAAUACUCGCGUUGUCAGAAACAUUUCUGGAACAUCAGAAGAUCUUCAGAUCUGAACGCAUGUUUAAUACUAAAGGUAGAAAUAUUUACCCUAAAGCUGUAUUCGUGAAUAGCCACUGCAGCCUUCAGUGGUCUGAAUACUUUAAACUUUGAAAGCUGUUAAAACCAUUAUCAGAAUUUGAGAUUUAGGGCUUACCACUACUUCAUAAUAGCAAAUUAGAAUUUACUAAUUCUGUUUGAUAACUGCAUGAUAAAUUUCUUUACGCUUCUAAGGGUAUGGGACAAAAGUGAGCUGUUCUGGUGGCUGCAAAGGCUCUGCGUUUGCUUCGUGUACGUUUGGGACGCAAAGACGAAACAAAAAGCUCAUAUCAUGCCUAUGAGCUUGUUCUAAAUAGUAAUAGAAAAAAUUGAAGAUAUAUACAAAGUGUCCAAUAUUCAGAUGCCUAUGCAACAAUAUUUGAAUGCUUUGGAUCUUUCUGGGACAACCAAGGAGAAAACAAGUUUAUAUUAAGCAUGGAUCAGUGCCAUUCAUAUACUAAUGAAUGACAUUGCCUGUGAAGCAUCUCAUGGAACUGAAAAUUGUCCAGGGGAUAGAGAAAACCAGUGUAUUCAGAUGGAGGUGGGAGAGGAAACCUUUGGAAGAGAGGCAAGAAAGCAAUGUGGAUGAGCUCUUGGAGGAAUGGGAGAUGCAGUGGCAAAGUCUACAGAGUCCAGAAUUACACAGCUGUUUCAUUCAAGCUGGGGACCGAUGUGAGACAUGGAGAGAGGUUCCAGGUGGGGCAAUGUGA